RNA transcript from Gossypium arboreum, 6817 nucleotides. It is a transcript of the gene named MAG2-interacting protein 2-like, with no coding region annotated. NCBI's taxonomy places the organism in Eukaryota, Viridiplantae, Streptophyta, Magnoliopsida, Malvales, Malvaceae. The record is from RefSeq and is a predicted model, not a curated record. The transcript has 12 exons.
UUUACAACGUUUUUGUUUGUUUGUUUCGUUUUUCUCUCUUUUCAAAUCAUCAUUCUUCUUUCUUCACGAAUUGAAAUAUUCGAUUCAAGUAACAGAGGCGGUCGCUGGCUAUGGCGGAAUCCGCGGGAGAAGUGCGAGAAGUGCUUUACGAAGAACGUCGUCACGCCUCGAGGCCUUUCUCUUCCGAUUGCCUCCCUCUUUCUCUUCAACGGUCAAAUGGAGCCGAUAAAGGCGGGUUCUUAUCAUUUCUUUCCGCUCGAGGUGUAAGUCAGCUUAAAGAGAAAUGGAUUAGAUUCAAGAAUCCGAAGAAAAUGAGAAAACCGGUAUCUUUAUUUAUAUCCCCAAGAGGUGAGCGUGUCGCUGUGGCUGCUGGAAAUCAAGUCACUAUCUUGCGGAAGGAAGAUGAUUAUCAGGAGCCGUGUGGCAUUUUUACUAACAGCAGCCUUGUUUUGUAUGCGUGUGGAGCUUGGUCUGAAUCUCAUGAUAUUCUUGGAAUCGUUGAUGAUGCUGAUGUAAUAUAUUUUAUCAAGGCAAAUGGUGAAGAGAUAACAAGGAUUACAAAGAGGCAUUUAAAAAUAUCUUCAACAGUAAUAGGACUGCUUGCAGAGAAUGAUUUUGAAGUACAACAAUCUUUCUUCUUCACUGUUCUGACAUCUGAUGGAGCUUUUCAUCAUAUUGAGAUCAGUCAAGAGUCAAGUGCCUCUAUUUCUUCUGUGAACGAAAGUGGCUUAGCUUUAAAAAGGCAAUUCCCUCAGAAUGUUUUCUGCUUUGACUAUUAUCCAGAACUUUCCUUGCUUCUUGUUGUUGGCUCAAUCACUGCUAGUGGGAAAUCUGAAUCCUGUCAUAUUUCUCUGUGGCGUAAACAUCAGAAUUUGGUUCUGGAACCGAUAGCCUCUACUCAAUUUAAGGGCCUUUACUUUGAGCGAAAAGGUUAUGCAGGUCAUCUGGCCUACCCAAAGGUGUCUAUCUCACCCAAAGGGGAUUAUAUUGCCGCUUUAGAUAUGAAUGGUUGUUUGCAUAUAUUUAAGCUGGAUAAAGAAACCUAUUCAGUUACAAAUUUUGCUUUCCAAGCAAGAACUAACUCUGAUAGACCUUUAAAUGCAUGCACAGAUAUCUUAGUUGACAUUGUAGAUUUUACUUGGUGGUCUGAUCACGUUCUCACUCUUGCUAAAAAAAGUGGCUUUGUCGCGAUGCUUGACAUUGUUAGUGGUCUGAAACUAAUAGAGAAUGAACCUGUAUAUUCUAUGCCUGUUUUAGAAAGGGUGCAGAAGUUUGAAGGAAAUAUUUUUCUUUUAGAGGGGUUCUCAUCUGAAGAUAGGUUUGAUUCAUCUAAUAGUAAUAGAAGGACAGAUGAUUUGCAUCAUGGAGAGCAAACUCCUGAAAACAGAUCCAAUCAACCUGACAUUUCUAGAAUGCGUUGGAAUUUGGUAUCACUAUCAGAGAGAUCUGUUCCUGAAAUGUUUAAGAUUCUUAUUGGUAAUUCCAAGCAUCAAGCUGCUUUGGAAUUUUCUGAUCGUUAUCAGUUGGAUAGGGAUGAAGUUCUGAAGUCCCAGUGGUUGUGUUCUAACCAAGGAAUAAAUGACUUGAAUACAUUCUUGUCAAACAUUAAAGAUAAAGCUUUUGUGCUUUCAGAGUGUGUUGAUAAAGUUGGACCAUCAGAAGAAGCGGUGAAGGCUUUACUUGCUUAUGGGCUGCAGUUAACUAACUUUUACAAAUUUUCCGAACAAAACAACCAAAAAUUUGGUGAGAUUUGGGAUUUCCGUUUGGCUAGACUUCAGCUGUUGCAAUUCAGUGACAGGUUGGAAACAUUUCUUGGGAUAAACAUGGGCAGGUUUUCUGUUCAAGAAUAUAGCAAAUUCCGGGUUAUGCCAAUUGAUGAAUCUGCAAUUGCACUUGCUGAAAGUGGAAAAAUUGGGGCUUUAAACCUCUUGUUCAAGCGUCAUCCUUAUUCGCUGGCUCCCUUCAUGUUAGAUAUUUUGGAUGCAAUUCCUGAAACAAUACCUGUGCGAACAUAUGUGCAGCUUCUUCCUGGGAGGUUUCCUCCAAGAUUUUUUAUCAGGGAGGAAGAUUGGGUUGAAUGUGAUAAGAUGAUUUGUUUUAUUAGUAACUUACCCGAGAACCAGGAUAUUGAUAAUCAAAUUAGAACUGAACCUAUUGUCAAGCAGUUGCUAGGAUCUUUUUGGCCUUCAACUGCUGAACUUGCAUUUUGGUAUAAACAUAGAGCUAGAGAUAUUGAUUCCUACAGUGGGUUGCUGGACAACUGCCUCAGCUUGGUUGGCUUUGCUUGUCAGAAAGGUGUCAAUGAGUUAAAGCAGUUUCAUGAGGAUAUCUCAUAUCUGCACCAGUUGGUUUAUGCUAAUGAGAAUGAUGCUGAAAUUAGUACCAGUAUGAGUCUUGUUGCAUGGGAACAAUUAUCUGACUACGAGAAAUUUAGGACAAUGCUUGACGGAUGCAGAGAGGAAAAUGUGGUUGAAUCAUUGUGGAAUAAGGCAAUUCCAUUUAUGCAAAAAAGGUCCCGCAGGGUUUCCUUCGCUACCCAAGAGCAGAUUGCAGAUGGCCAUUCUCAGGUAGAUCGUACUAGGAGUGAGUCAUUCCUGGUUAGAUGGCUGAAGGAGAUGUCUUUGGUAAAUAAAUUAGAUGUAUGCUUGAUGGUCAUUGAGGAAGGUUGCAGGGAGCUCCAAAGCAGUGGCUUCUUCAAGGAUGAGGUUGAAGUUGUAGAUUGUGCUUUGCAAUGCCUAUAUUUAUUUACAGUCACAGAUAGGUGGAGUACCAUGGCUGCUAUAUUGUCAAAGCUUCCACAUAAGCAAGAUUCUGGAAUAUUUAUUGGCAACCUUGAUCAAAGGUGCAAAGUGGCAGAAGGACAUAUUGAAGCAGGGAGUCUUUUGGCUUUUUACCAGGUACCAAAACCAAUGAGUUAUUUCUUAGAAGCCCAUUCAGAUGAAAAGGGUGUAAAACAGAUUAUCCGCCUCAUACUUUCAAAAUUUAUUCGCCAACGGCCUGGCCGAUCAGAUAAUGAGUGGGCAGACUUGUGGCAUGAUAUGCAGUGCUUGCAUGAGGAGGCCUUUACAUUUCUGAACCUCGAAUAUUUGUUAACUGAAUUUUGUGGAGGACUGUUAAAAGCAGAGAAGUUUUCUCUGGCUAGAAGUUACUUAAAGGGUACAAGUUCAGUUGCCUUAGCAACAGAGAAAGCGGAGAAUCUUGUUAUUCAAGCUGCAAGGGAGUUUUUUUUCUCAGCUUCAAGUCUGGCUGGCUCAGAAAUCUGGAAGGCUAAGGAUUGCUUGAAUUUAUUUCCAAGUAGCAGAAAUGUAAAAGCGGAGGCUGAUUUUAUUGAUGCACUUACUGUUAAACUUCCAAACCUAGGAGUGACUCUUCUGCCUAUGCAAUUCCAGCAAAUAAAAGAUCCAAUGGAAAUUAUUAAAAUGGCAAUCAGAAAUAAAGCUGAAGCUUAUCUACAUGUUGAUGAACUAAUUGAGGUUGCAAAACUUCUAGGGUUGAGUUCCUUGGAUGAAAUAUCAGGUGUUCAGGAAGCUAUUGCUAGAGAAGCUGCAGUUACCGGUGAUCUGCAGUUGGCCUAUGAUCUCUGCCUUGUUCUGGCCAAAAGAGGUUAUGGUAUUAUUUGGGAUUUAUGUGCUGCUAUAGCAAGGGGUCCUUCUCUCGAGAAUUUGGACACAAGUUCUCGAAAACAGCUAUUGGGUUUUGCUUUGAGCCAUUGCGAUGAGGAAUCAAUUGGUGAGUUGCUCCAUGCAUGGAAAGACUUAGACAUGCAAGUGCAGUGUGAAACUUUGAUGACGUUGACAGGAAUUGAUUGUCCAAGUUUCUCAGUUCAAGGCUCCUCGGUCUUCUCACUUCCAGACUACAGUAUUCAAGAUAUUGUUGACCGUAAAAACUCCUCUGUACUGGUUAAAGGGUUUAGCAGUGUUGAUAAAAGAAGUCAUUUAAAUAGUAUUAAAAAUAUACUUUCUCUAGUUGCUAAAAGUCCUGCCGUGCAUGGGACGGAUUGGGAGCUUCUUUUGCAAGAAAAUGGGAAGAUUUUAUCUUUUGCUGCCGUACAACUCCCAUGGUUGCUUGAAUUAACUAGAAAACCAGAGCACUGUAAGAAAUUUACUUCUGGCAUGAUUCCUGGGAAGCAAUAUGUAAGUGUAAGAACGCAAGUUGUGAUAACUAUUUUGUCCUGGUUGGCAAGGAAUGAUUUUGCUCCCAGAGACGAUUUGAUUGCUUCUCUGGUAAAAUCCAUUAUAGAACCACCAGUUACUGAAGAGGAAGAUGUCAUCGGUUGCUCCUUCUUACUGAAUCUUGUGGAUGCUUUUAGUGGGGUAGAAUUAAUUGAAGAACAGCUUAAAACCAGGGAAAACUACCUAGAAACUUGUAGUAUCAAGAAUGUUAGAACGACAUAUAGCACAUUACAUAAUACUGGUGUUGAUUGUGAAGGUGCCGUUCAGAGGAGGGAGCUGCUCUUCAGGAAGUUUAAAGAGAAGAAUAAUGUCGGUACUAGAGUUUAUUCCUGUAGUGACGUAAACAAGAUUUAUGGAGUGCAGUCCUCAUUUUGGAAGGAAUGGGAACUGAAAUUAGAAGAGAAAAAAGCAUGUAACAGAUCAUUCUAGAUUGUUAGAGCAAGUAAUUCCUGGGGUUGGAACUGCACGUUUUUUGUGUGGUCAUGUCAGCUACAUUGAGAGUGUUGUUUUGAAGGAUAUGUUGAAAUUGGCCGAUACCUAUGGUUUGAACCAAGCUGAGGUACUGUAAUACUUUGGCACUUCCAUCCUCGUUUCCGAGAUUUGCACCGAUGAUGAUAUCAUGGCUGAGAUCUCAGAAAUUAGAGGAGAAAUACUUGGUUAUGCUCCUAGAACCAUCAAGACGAUAUCCUUGAUUGCAUAUCCUGCUGUUGAUGGUUGCAAUAAGCAGCAGCUUGCUUACAUUUAUAGCCUCCUCUCUGACUGUUAUAAGAAGUUAAGGAAAGUGAAGAACCUUCUCCAAUAAUGCUCCCACAUCAGCCCACAUGCAUUUGCUCGAGUUAUCUCAUUAUUACGAGGUUAUCAAGCAAGAAUGUAGAAGAAUUUCCUUUGUCAAGGACCUAAAUUUCCACAAUAUUGCUGGAUUAGGUGGUUUGAAUCUGCUAGAUUUUGGACCUAAAAUGGUAAUGACUCUGGUCAGCAUCUAUGUGAUGAAGUGCCUGAGGGUCUAAUAUCAUGGCAGGAUGUCCACAGACAUUUUGUACUGUGUGUAUUGACAAAUUUUAAGGAUAGAGUUAGAACGGAGUUUAGCACUAACAACCCGGAAAACUUUCAGAAAAGAACUAGUGAACUUGAGCAGAUGUAUGACUUGUGGAGAAUACAUAUCAAAAUGUUGGAACCAUCAGAGGCAUUGGACGUUAUGAAACAAUAUUUUAACUGUAAACAUACCUCCAUGUUGUGCUUAUGGGAAUAUACCUGAUAACUCAACAUGGCAGGACUGCAUCAUCUUCCUUUUGAAUUUCUGGAUCAGAUUGAAUGAGAAAUGCAAAAACAUGCUUCAUGGAAGAUUUUGGUUGAAAAUUGCUUAAUGAGUUGUUUAAAGGUUUUAAUGAGGUCGGUGAUGGAGGACUCUGUUUCUCCUAGUCAGGGCUGGAGCACCAUUAUUGACUGUGUGAACCAUGGUUUAAUUGGUGACUUCGGCUGACAUUUUCAUUUUCUGCAGUGCCAUGAUAUUUUUCUAUUUGUGGUUUUGGAGCUAUUUCAGAAGUAUUAGUUGCCCUUAAAUCAUCUCAGCUUCUAGCAGCCAUCUCUCCUGGUAUUGAAAAUUCCCCGGGUGACCUCUUGAAUGUUGAAUCAGCAGUUUCUUGCUUCUUGAAAUUGUGUGGAGUUGCCAAUGCAGAUAUACUCAUUUCGGCGUUUUGGUAGCCAUUUUGGAAGACUGGGAAGGCCUUUUGUGAUUAAGAAAGAAGAGGUAGCCUCUGCAGCAUUACCCGAUGCAGAAAAUGAUUGGAGCACUGAUGAUUGGGAUGAGGGGUGGGAGAGGUUGCAGGAAGUUCCUUCUUGAAGAUUUUCAAGCACCUUGAGAAUUUCUAAGUCCGGUGGAGUGUUUCUUGAUGAAGGCAAUGCAAGGAGCUCGACUGACAUUGUACUUGGAGUGGAUUGUCGUAUGGCUUCAAAGAUGAUGCUCUUACUGCCUUACGGAGAGUUGUGGUUGGAAUCUUUGAAUGCACUUGAAAACAAGUUGAAACAAGAAGGUAUGCCGGACAUGAUUGGUGGCGACCACGAGUUCAUAAUGCUAGUGCUGUCAUCUGGGGUUCUAUCAACUGUUAUCAACAAGUCUUUCUUAGGCACUGUUUUCUUGUAUGUCUGCUAUUUAGUAGGCAAUUUCUCUCACCGGUUUGAGGAAGCACAGUUAUCGGGCCUCAGAGAGAAAGGAACCCAUGAACCUGGACACAACGAGGUAGACAUCUUAUUUCCUUCUGCAAGAAGCUUGUCAAAGCCGAUCUGCCGAUUCUGACCGGAUUUCUUGUCACAAAAUUCAUGCACACCAAUGCUUCACUUGGCUUCAUCAAUGUCGUAGAGGGUAGUCUUUGAAGAUUUUUGGAGUCAACUCUGCGUGCUCGAACACAACUAGCUUGCCCUUGAGGAAUUGAGUUGUUGUGAACCAUUAAAAAGCACACUUUCAAACUUGAGAAGCAAAUUUGGUGUUUCAUUUCAAUCUGCCAUGUAAUUACUUUCUAAGAACGAAAGCAAAUAGAUAAGAAAAAGAAAUGAGUUCUGUAUGCCAUAUGAUAGACUUUGUAUAUAAACAAAAAUUUUACAUGGGUCAGUUACCAAACCUGGUAAAGAAAACGUUCAAAUCAAUUAAA